RNAcentral lists this ribosomal RNA (406 nucleotides) under uncultured bacterium. Its description in RNAcentral is "bacterial SSU rRNA". It matches the Rfam family "Bacterial small subunit ribosomal RNA", at positions 355 to 776 of the family's 1533-position model. The record is from RNAcentral.
UGAGGGAUAUUGCACAAUGGGGGAAACCCUGAUGCAGCGACGCCGCGUGGGUGAUGAAGGACUUCGGUUCGUAAAACCCUUUUACAGGUGACGAGACAAGGACGGUAGCCUGUGAAUAAGCCUCGGCUAACUACGUGCCAGCAGCCGCGGUAAAACGUAGGAGGCAAGCGUUAUCCGGAGUUACUGGGCGUAAAGGGCGCGCAGGUGGUUUGGUAAGUGUGGCGUGAAAGCUCCCGGCUAAACCGGGAGAGGUCGAAACAGACUGCCAGACUCGAGAGUGACAGAAGUACGCGGAAUUCGGGGUGUAGCGGUGAAAUGUGUAGAGAUCCCGAGGAACACCAGUGGUGAAAACGGCGUACUGGGUCAUAUCUGACACUGAGGCGCGAAAGCUUGGGGAGCGAACGGG